RNAcentral lists this ribosomal RNA (229 nucleotides) under uncultured bacterium. Its description in RNAcentral is "partial 16S ribosomal RNA". It matches the Rfam family "Bacterial small subunit ribosomal RNA", at positions 568 to 796 of the family's 1533-position model. The record is from RNAcentral.
UACGUAGGCGGAAGAUUAAGUCAGUAGUGAAAUCCCGCAGCUUAACUGUGGAACUGUUAUUGAUACUGGUUUUCUUGAAUUUAGUUGAGGUAGGCGGAAUGUGUAAUGUAGCGGUGAAAUGCUUAGAUAUUACACAGAACACCGAUUGCGAAGGCAGCUUACUAAGCUAUGAUUGACGCUGAGGUACGAAAGCGUGGGGAGCGAACAGGAUUAGAUACCCUGGUAGUCC